This 421-nucleotide ribosomal RNA is filed under the name uncultured bacterium. RNAcentral describes it as "partial 16S ribosomal RNA". It matches the Rfam family "Bacterial small subunit ribosomal RNA", at positions 360 to 773 of the family's 1533-position model. The record is from RNAcentral.
AAUUUUGGACACUGGGGGGAACCCUGAUCCAGCCAUCCCGCGUGUGCGAUGAAGGCCUNCGGGUUNUNAAGCACUUUUGGCAGGGNCGAAAAGGCUCUGGUUAAUACCCGGAGCUGCUGACGGUACCUGCAGAAUAAUCACCGGCUAACCACGUUCCAGCAGCCGAGGUAAUACGUAGGGUGCAAGCGUUAAUCGGAAUUUCUGGGCGUAAGGCGUGCGCAGGCGGUUUGGCAAGAAGGAUGUGAAAUCCCAGGGAUUAAGCUUGGAACUGCAUUCUUAACUGCCAGGCUAGAGUAUGUCAGAGGGGGGUAGAAUUCCGCGUGUAGCAGUGAAAUGCGUAGAGAUGCGGAGGAAUACCGAUGGCGAAGGCAGCCCCCUGGGAUAAUACUGACGCUCAUGCACGAAAGCGUGGGGAGCAAAC